GACGAACGCUGGCGGCGUGCCUAAUACAUGCAAGUCGAGCGGACGAAUCGAAAGCUUGCUUUUGAUUCGUUAGCGGCGGACGGGUGAGUAACACGUGGGCAACCUGCCCUGUAGACGGGGAUAACACCGAGAAAUCGGUGCUAAUACCGGAUAACACGAAAUGUCGCAUGACGUUUCGUUGAAAGACGGCGCAAGCUGCCGCUACAGGAUGGGCCCGCGGCGCAUUAGCUAGUUGGUGAGGUAACGGCUCACCAAGGCGACGAUACGUAGCCGACCUGAGAGGGUGAUCGGCCACACUGGGACUGAGACACGGCCCAGACUCCUACGGGAGGCAGCAGUAGGGAAUCUUCCGCAAUGGACGAAAGUCUGACGGAGCAACGCCGCGUGAGCGAAGAAGGCCUUCGGGUCGUAAAGCUCUGUUGUUAGGGAAGAACAAGUAACGCAGUAACGGGCGUUACCGUGACGGUACCUAACGAGAAAGCCACGGCUAACUACGUGC
RNAcentral lists this ribosomal RNA (499 nucleotides) under uncultured bacterium. RNAcentral's name for it is "partial 16S ribosomal RNA". It matches the Rfam family "Bacterial small subunit ribosomal RNA", at positions 28 to 508 of the family's 1533-position model. The record is from RNAcentral.